GGAAAGUAUAGGCAUGCUCUUCUCUCAUAAGAACACAAAUGAAAUCUCAUGUGGCGCAGUGUCAUAAGCAUCAUAAUGAUCGGACCAAACUGCAGCGGGGAUGUGAAUCAUCUUCUUGAUUUAUUAAAGAAAAGAACACUGAACAAAAGAACGACGAAAACCAGUCCUGAACAGUACAAUGACUAUACAUGGAACAACCACCCACAAACACAAGAGAAAAUAAACCCAUAUUGCCUACUUAUGAUAAAAGAUUUUGGGAUACCUUGAGCCGUGUAACAUUUACAGUAUCCUUACAACAACAUUCACAUGCACCACAUAAUUCACUUAUCAAUAAUCCUUCAAACAGUCGCUGACAAUCUAAAUCAGGUGUUCAAGACUUUCCAGCACAGACAGCACGUUAUAUCAGGGUUUCCAAAACUCGGUCCUGGGACCCUCCCUGGGUAUAACUUAUGCAAAACGUGCAAAGUUUGGGAAAUCCUACCUGAGGCACAUGAACAGUCAUUCGGUCUCUCUCUACCAACACAAAGUCACCACCAGUACUUCAAGUAGCAACCACAUAACAACAGAGACAACAGUUACAGUAAAAAAAAGCAUCACUAAAACACAAUCUAUUGUCUAACCCUCCCCUAUAUGCCUCCAGUCCUCAUACAUCAUUUCCAAACUCCUGUACUGCCGUAAGUGCCUCUUUGCAACCCUCUCGCUGUGGCAUGUUCACAUACACCUCCUCCUCCCUUGAUAAAGGGGCCUCGGGGUCAGCUUGUGGUGAGUCUAUCUGGGUGCUGGUAGGUCUGGAGCAUAACUCAUUUCCUAUGUUCACAGGGUAGGUAACAGUGAUGUUGACAUUAACUAGGGGUACAGAUGCCAGGGGGCUGGUGGAUUGGGGGCUGGGCUGGGGGGGUGCUGGCCAGGAUGCUGGGCUGUGGAAUGGUGGACUGGACGGGGCUUAUUGACAAGCCAUCCAGGCUGUUGGAGCACCCUGAGCCUGACCAGGUCUUAAUAGCAUCCUGCUGGGUCUCUGCCUGACCGACAUUACUGCAGUCUCCUUUCCCCAGCAGACACUAUAUAUAUAUAGAGAGAGAGAGAGAGAAAAUGUUGAAGCUGUUGAAAUGUUCUUGCCUCAAACAUGCUUUACUACGGUUAAAUGGCAAAAAAACUAACUUUAAUGGCCUCCUUCUCAGAAUUUCCAUUUAUAUCUUCUGUAGAAGAUACACGUAUGAAGUUUGUGAAGGCUGUAAGAGAACAUAGUAAACAUACAGUAAAAUGUCAUUUUCAUAGCCAUGUUUGCAAUCAAUUAAAGGGCUAUUACAAUCAAGUGUUUAACUCUAAAGCUUUACCUUUCUUGUAAAUGACAGUGCCUACGAUCAGCAGCAGGAACAUAGCACCUCCGAUAGCACCUGCAACUGAAAGAUACAAGAGCGGGGGUUACAACAAAGCGGUGUAAGUAUACGAGAGACGGCGGUGGAGAAAUGUUAAAACCACGAGAGUGGUCUCUGACACGUGGACUAUAUAGCUGCCUGUAUUUACCUAUCCAGAGGUUAAUGCCUGGUGAUUUUUCUUCCGUUGGAGCGAUGACCCGUGGAUCAGAGGGACUAGAUGUCAGCUUUGAGCCUCGGGUGGUUGGAACUGUAGACGUAUCCAUGCUCUGUAGACUUGAUGUGGUAUGCCCUUUACCAGAGGGUGGCAUUGUGGUCGGUGGGCUUGGAGGUGUGGUGGUUUGGAGGAUGGAGACCAGUCGUCCGUUUACCUUCGGUCCACACACCGCAUCGGUGGUGGCUGUACCGUAAGUCAGUACGUCCCUCCCCUGAGACAGACAACUGAGGAGACAGUGUCACAGUCCCAUUGUUAACACCAAUACCGACAGUCCAAAUAAUUGCUGUGUGUGUGCGCGUCUGUGUGUGUGCGUGCUUGCAUGUGUUUGUGUUAUGCAUGAAUGUGUGAGUCACUCACUCUGUGUGGUGCUGGCAGAUCUGGGUGUAGGAGUACUGGUCAGAGAAGGUUCCAUCGGGGCAUGAUGCACAUUCCACAUCCGACUCUGCUGUCCCUGAAACACACACCACAACACACAAACACGUUUACUCAUACUCUUACAGUGAACAGUUGCAUUCAAACUUCCAAUAUAAUAUUUGAGGAGGACAGAAACAUGUGGAAUCAGUUAGAAAUAGUGUCCUACCAGCCUCCUGUCCAGCUAUGGUACCUUCUACAGAGACCCCAUAACCAGGCUUGCAGUAUGUCAAAUUUGCACACUCCUCACAGUCCGGGUGUUGGUUCAGUACGCAGUACAUCCCAGUCUGGCACGCACACUGAGUCUUGGUGGUGCUGGAGCACUUCUGGACAUACUUCAGGCCUUUGUCUUCAUGCAUAAAGGAAUAAAAUGCUCAUUAAAGACUACACACCUAUCAAUGUAGCUGAGUCACUGGAGUAACAUAACCCACCCACCUGCUGAACACUUGGGACAUCUGAAGCAUUUUGCGAAGUAAUUAAAGGUCCCACUGUACUGGCCUCUAGGACAUGGUUCACACGCCGUGUCUGAGGUAGAGCUGCAUAGAUCUUUCCGGCGUGUCCCUGUAAUGACAUACAUGUAUAAUUUACAGUAAUCAUCUCAGUACAUGUACAUUUUACAGAACCUACAGAGUGCCGUAAAAGUAUUGUUAUGUUUGAAGUGGUCAUAUUUAGUGCUAUGAUUCUAAGGAUGUCCUCUCCUCUCAGUUUCAUUAGUGUUUAGGACUACACCUUACCAGAAGUACACUUGCUGCAGCAGAGGUUUACCUCUGCGUUAUAGUAUUCAGCUGUUUUGUUGUGGCAGGAUCCGUCAGAGUCUGGUGCGUAUGGCAGAGUGUACACCUGUAGGGACGAGGGGACCAUGAAGUGCACCUGAUCAGGAGAAGGAGUGAUGAGAAGUGGUUGAGGAGAUCGGAGAGAUUUCCAAUAAGUUGUCAAGGACUGGCUAUGACGUCUGAAUACCAAAGAUAUGUCGCUGCCAAGGCCUCUCACUAUCGUCCUCUCUACAAUGGACAGAAUGUCUCUUCUGACAGGCAUUUCCUUUUCAUUUAUGGCAGCCAUCCAAAACAAACAUAUCAAAUCAGAAAACUGAAUCAGGAGUUUUCCUGAUUUGAUGUGUUUAGUUUUGUGGAACACUCGAGUUAAGCCUGAAAAUGAAAUAUUGAGCUUUACAAAAACAUCCGUUU
This 3185-nucleotide long non-coding RNA is filed under the name Salmo salar (Atlantic salmon). RNAcentral describes it as "lncRNA (ENSSSAG00000092551.1)". The record is from RNAcentral. Lineage: Eukaryota; Metazoa; Chordata; Actinopteri; Salmoniformes; Salmonidae.